Gavialis gangeticus (Gharial) is the source of this 686-nucleotide long non-coding RNA. RefSeq lists it as uncharacterized. Lineage: Eukaryota; Metazoa; Chordata; Crocodylia; Gavialidae. The record is from RefSeq and is a predicted model, not a curated record. The transcript is spliced from 3 exons.
GUGGACUGAGUUUGCCUAACCAAGAGGGAUUGGUAGCAGAAUAACAUUUUGCAUACUUGUAUCCUUUCCUGCAGUGAUAUUAACUUCACCUUCACCCAUUUUUGCUAGUAUUAAAGUUUGGUUGCUGGAACUAGCGACCCACUUUUAUCUAUCCGCAGGGGCUGUCUGUUGGCCUUUCAGCCCCGGUGAUCAUUAUUUAUACUAUGUAUGGCUGGGCAUGGCAUUUGGAGCACCCUGCUCCCACGUGCUUAGUCUGAAGUCCUGCUCCUGUAACUUGUCUGGCAGGACUGCAUCCAUGUGGAUCCAGGAAAUGAAAGAUGAAACAGUGACAUAGCAAGGAGGAAGAAGAAUGCUGAGAAACUGUGAGAGGUGCAGAAAAGAGCCACAAAAUAAUGAAGGGCUGGAAAGAAUGCUCGACAGUGGGAGACUUAAAUUGCUCAAUCUGGGUUUGGUAAAAUCGUCUGCUGAACAAGACCCCACCUCAGCUUCUCUAACACAAGAACCAAAAUUUGGGCCUUUUUUAUUUUUUUGUACAGAUUAAAUACUCCAGUGUAGCAUCCUGUCCAUGUACUCGUUUUAACAGAUGCCCGACUCAUAAAGAAAUUUACAGAUAAAACCUAGGAUGUUUGAAAUAGCCAAUCCUUUUCAACCAUAGCUGUUUUUAAUAAAGUUUAUGCUUUUAUAUA